This is a non-coding RNA of Triticum aestivum (bread wheat), 174 nucleotides long. The record is from Rfam. Lineage: Eukaryota; Viridiplantae; Streptophyta; Magnoliopsida; Poales; Poaceae.
CAACUACUCCCUCUGUACCAAAUUUCUUGUCUUAUAUUUGUCUAGAUACGGAUGUAUCUAAUACUAAAAUGUGACUUGAUACAUCCGUAUCUAGACAAAUCUAAGACAAGAAUUUAGAUACAUCCGUAUCUAGACAAAUCUAAGACAAGAAUUUUGGGACGGAGGGAGUACUUU